RNAcentral lists this ribosomal RNA (772 nucleotides) under uncultured bacterium. Its description in RNAcentral is "bacterial SSU rRNA". It matches the Rfam family "Bacterial small subunit ribosomal RNA", at positions 61 to 861 of the family's 1533-position model. The record is from RNAcentral.
GUCGAGCGAUUCUCUUCGGAGAAGAGCGGCGGACGGGUGAGUAACGCUGUGGGUAACCUGCCCUAUACACACGGAUAACAUACCGAAAGGUAUGCUAAUACGGGAUAACAUAAGAGAUUCGCAUGGAUUUCUUAUCAAAGCUCCGGCGGUAUAGGAUGGACCCGCGUCUGAUUAGCUAGUUGGUAAGGUAACGGCUUACCAAGGCGACGAUCAGUAGCCGACCUGAGAGGGUGAUCGGCCACAUUGGAACUGAGACACGGUCCAAACUCCUACGGGAGGCAGCAGUGGGGAAUAUUGCACAAUGGGCGAAAGCCUGAUGCAGCAACGCCGCGUGAGCGAUGAAGGCCUUCGGGUCGUAAAGCUCUGUCCUCAAGGAAGAUAAUGACGGUACUUGAGGAGGAAGCCCCGGCUAACUACGUGCCAGCAGCCGCGGUAAUACGUAGGGGGCUAGCGUUAUCCGGAAUUACUGGGCGUAAAGGGUGCGUAGGUGGUUUCUUAAGUCAGAGGUGAAAGGCUACGGCUCAACCGUAGUAAGCCUUUGAAACUGAGAAACUUGAGUACAGGAGAGGAGAGUAGAAUUCCUAGUGUAGCGGUGAAAUGCGUAGAUAUUAGGAGGAAUACCAGUUGCGAAGGCGGCUCUCUGGACUGUAACUGACACUGAGGCACGAAAGCGUGGGGAGCAAACAGGAUUAGAUACCCUGGUAGUCCACGCCGUAAACGAUGAGUACUAGCUGUCGGAGGUUACCCCCUUCGGUGGCGCAGCUAACGCAUU